GAACUGAAGAGUUUGAUCAUGGCUCAGAUUGAACGCUGGCGGCAGGCCUAACACAUGCAAGUCGAGCGGAUGAAGGGAGCUUGCUCCUGGAUUCAGCGGCGGACGGGUGAGUAAUGCCUAGGAAUCUGCCUGGUAGUGGGGGAUAACGUCCGGAAACGGGCGCUAAUACCGCAUACGUCCUGAGGGAGAAAGUGGGGGAUCUUCGGACCUCACGCUAUCAGAUGAGCCUAGGUCGGAUUAGCUA
This 244-nucleotide ribosomal RNA is filed under the name Pseudomonas aeruginosa. RNAcentral's name for it is "partial 16S ribosomal RNA". It matches the Rfam family "Bacterial small subunit ribosomal RNA", at positions 1 to 247 of the family's 1533-position model. The record is from RNAcentral. Lineage: Bacteria; Pseudomonadati; Pseudomonadota; Gammaproteobacteria; Pseudomonadales; Pseudomonadaceae.